This 258-nucleotide ribosomal RNA is filed under the name uncultured bacterium. RNAcentral's name for it is "partial 16S ribosomal RNA". It matches the Rfam family "Bacterial small subunit ribosomal RNA", at positions 793 to 1055 of the family's 1533-position model. The record is from RNAcentral.
GUCCACGCCGUAACUAUGGGUGCUAGCCGUCGGAUAGCUUGCUAUUCGGUGGCGCAGCUAACGCAUUAAGCACCCGCCUGGGAGUACGGCCGCAAGGUUAAACUCAAAGGAAUUGACGGGCCCGCACAAGCGGUGGAGCAUGUGGUUUAAUUCGACGCAACGCGAAGAACCUUACCAGCUCUUGACAUUUCCUGACUGUUUCCAGAGAUGGAUUCGUCCCAGCAAUGGGCAGGAGGACAGGUGCUGCAUGGCUGUCGU